CUACGGGCCGCAGCAGUGGGGAAUCUUGGACAAUGGGCGCAAGCCUGAUCCAGCCAUGCCGCGUGAGUGAAGAAGGCCUUAGGGUCGUAAAGCUCUUUCGCCAGAGAUGAUAAUGACAGUAUCUGGUAAAGAAACCCCGGCUAACUCCGUGCCAGCAGCCGCGGUAAUACGGAGGGGGUUAGCGUUGUUCGGAAUUACUGGGCGUAAAGCGCGCGUAGGCGGAUUAGUCAGUCAGAGGUGAAAUCCCAGGGCUCAACCCUGGAACUGCCUUUGAUACUGCUAGUCUUGAGUUCGAGAGAGGUGAGUGGAAUUCCGAGUGUAGAGGUGAAAUUCGUAGAUAUUCGGAGGAACACCAGUGGCGAAGGCGGCUCACUGGCUCGAUACUGACGCUGAGGUGCGAAAGUGUGGGGAGCAAACAGGAUUAGAUACCCCCGUAGUC
RNAcentral lists this ribosomal RNA (439 nucleotides) under uncultured bacterium. Its description in RNAcentral is "partial 16S ribosomal RNA". It matches the Rfam family "Bacterial small subunit ribosomal RNA", at positions 339 to 795 of the family's 1533-position model. The record is from RNAcentral.